ACGGGACCGCACAAGCGGUGGAUGAUGUGGAUUAAUUCGAUCGCAACGCGAAAACCUUACCUACCCUUGACAUGUCCGGAAUCCGAAGAGAUUUGGGAGUGCUCGCAAGAGAGCCGGAACACAGGUGCUGCAUGGCUGUCGUCAGCUCGUGUCGUGAGAUGUUGGGUUAAGUCCCGCAACGAGCGCAACCCUUGUCAUUAGUUGCCAUCAUUUGGUUGGGCACUCUAAUGAGACUGCCGGUGACAAACCGGAGGAAGGUGGGGAUGACGUCAAGUCCUCAUGGCCCUUAUGGGUAGGGCUUCACACGUCAUACAAUGGUCGGUACAGAGGGUUGCCAACCCGCGAGAGGGAGCUAAUCCCACAAAGCCGAUCGUAGUCCGGAUCGCAGUCUGCAACUCGACUGCGUGAAGUCGGAAUCGCUAGUAAUCGUGGAUCAGCAUGUCACGGUGAAUACGUUCCCGGGUCUU
RNAcentral lists this ribosomal RNA (467 nucleotides) under uncultured Rhodocyclaceae bacterium. RNAcentral's name for it is "bacterial SSU rRNA". It matches the Rfam family "Bacterial small subunit ribosomal RNA", at positions 917 to 1381 of the family's 1533-position model. Lineage: Bacteria; Pseudomonadati; Pseudomonadota; Betaproteobacteria; Rhodocyclales; Rhodocyclaceae. The record is from RNAcentral.